Molecule: non-coding RNA, 27 nt
Filed under: Mus musculus (house mouse)
Lineage: Eukaryota; Metazoa; Chordata; Mammalia; Rodentia; Muridae
Source: RNAcentral
UGAAUCAAGUUGCAGAUACUUAUGGUA